GCCUUGGUAGAUCAAUCGGCAGAUCAAUGUCGCAAUACUUUGUGCCGUUCGGCAGAUGGGGGUUCGAAUCCUCCCCAAGACA
This is a non-coding RNA of Mycena rebaudengoi, 82 nucleotides long. Lineage: Eukaryota; Fungi; Basidiomycota; Agaricomycetes; Agaricales; Mycenaceae. The record is from the annotation of a GenBank genome assembly.